This 85-nucleotide transfer RNA is filed under the name Felis catus (domestic cat). It matches the Rfam family "tRNA". From Rfam's summary of the family: Transfer RNA (tRNA) molecules are approximately 80 nucleotides in length. Their secondary structure includes four short double-helical elements and three loops (D, anti-codon, and T loops). Further hydrogen bonds mediate the characteristic L-shaped molecular structure. tRNAs have two regions of fundamental functional importance: the anti-codon, which is responsible for specific mRNA codon recognition, and the 3' end, to which the tRNAs corresponding amino acid is attached (by aminoacyl-tRNA synthetases). tRNAs cope with the degeneracy of the genetic code in two manners: having more than one tRNA (with a specific anti-codon) for a particular amino acid; and 'wobble' base-pairing, i.e. permitting non-standard base-pairing at the 3rd anti-codon position. The record is from Rfam by way of RNAcentral. Lineage: Eukaryota; Metazoa; Chordata; Mammalia; Carnivora; Felidae.
GCCUGGGUGGCUCGGUUGGUUAAGCGUCUGACUUUGGUUCAGGUCAUGAUCUCUGGGUUUGUGGGUUUGAGCCCCGCAUCAGGCU